Molecule: ribosomal RNA, 253 nt
Filed under: uncultured bacterium
Lineage: Bacteria
Description: partial 16S ribosomal RNA
Rfam family: Archaeal small subunit ribosomal RNA
Source: RNAcentral
UACCCGCAGCACAAGUGGUGGUCAUUAUUAUUGGGCCUAAAGCGUCCGUAGCUGGCGUGUUAGAUGCCUGGGUAAAUCGAUGCGCUCAACGCAUCGAAUUCCGGGUAGACCGGCACGCUCGAGACCGGGAGAGGCGUGGGGUACUCGGGGGGUAGGGGUAAAAUCCUGUAAUCCUCCGGGGACGACCAGUGGCGAAGGCGCCACGCUAGAACGGCUCUGACAGUGAGGGACGAAGCCCUGGGGCGCAAACCGG